CCUACGGGAGGCAGCAGUGAGGAAUAUUGGUCAAUGGGCGGGAGCCUGAACCAGCGAAGUCGCGUGAAGGAAGAAGGUACUUAGUAUUGUAAACUUCUUUUGUCGGGGAACAAAGGCGGAGACGCGUCUCCGGAUGAGUGUACCCGAAGAAAAAGCAUCGGCUAACUCCGUGCCAGCAGCCGCGGUAAUACGGAGGAUGCGAGCGUUAUCCGGAUUUAUUGGGGUAAAAGGGUGCGCAGGCGGGAGAUCAAGUCAGCGGUAAAAUGUCGGGGCUCAACCCCGGCCGGCCGUUGAAACUGGUUGUCUAGAGUUGGAGAGAGGUAUGCGGAAUUCGUGGUGUAGCGGUGAAAUGCAUAGAUAUCACGAAGAACUCCGAUUGCGAAGGCAGCAUACCGGCUCCAUACUGACGCUGAGGCACGAAAGCGUGGGGAUCGAACAGGAUUAGAUACCCGAGUAGUC
This 459-nucleotide ribosomal RNA is filed under the name uncultured bacterium. RNAcentral describes it as "partial 16S ribosomal RNA". It matches the Rfam family "Bacterial small subunit ribosomal RNA", at positions 338 to 795 of the family's 1533-position model. The record is from RNAcentral.